UACGUAGGGGGCAAGCGUUGUCCGGAUUCAUUGGGCGUAAAGAGCGUGUAGGCGGCCUGAAAGGUCGGCUGUGAAAACUCGAGGCUCAACCUCGAGACGUCGGUUGAAACCAUCUGGCUAGAGUCCGGAAGAGGAGUGUGGAAUUCCCGGUGUAGCGGUGAAAUGCGCAGAUAUCGGGAAGAACACCCGUGGCGAAGGCGGCACUCUGGGCCGAUACUGACGCUGAGGAGCGAAAGCGUGGGGAGCGAACAGG
Molecule: ribosomal RNA, 253 nt
Filed under: uncultured bacterium
Lineage: Bacteria
Description: partial 16S ribosomal RNA
Rfam family: Bacterial small subunit ribosomal RNA
Source: RNAcentral